AAAAGUCGUAACAAGGUCUCCGUUGGUGAACCAGCGGAGGGAUCAUUACAGAGUUUCAAAACUCCCAAACCAUCGUGAACGUUACCUACAUCGUUGCUUCGGCGGGUGGCGGGCUUCGGCCCUGCCCUCGGCCCCUCUCGGGGGCCCGCCGGAGGUACACCAAACUCUUGAAUUUACAUGGCCUCUCUGAGUCUUCUGUACUGAAUAAGUCAAAACUUUCAACAACGGAUCUCUUGGUUCUGGCAUCGAUGAAGAACGCAGCGAAAUGCGAUAAGUAAUGUGAAUUGCAGAAUUCAGUGAAUCAUCGAAUCUUUGAACGCACAUUGCGCCCGCCAGUAUUCUGGCGGGCAUGCCUGUCCGAGCGUCAUUUCAACCAUCAAGCCCCCGGCUUGUGUUGGGGACCUGCGGCACACCCGCAGGCCCUGAAAACCAGUGGCGGGCUCGCUGUCCACACCGAGCGUAGUAGCAUAUCUUUGUCUCGCUCAGGGCGUGCGGCGGGUUCCGGCCGUGAAACCCACCUUCUCGAAGGUACCCAAAGGUUGACCUCGGAUCAGGUAGGAAGACCCGCUGAACUUAAGCAUAUCAAUAA
RNAcentral lists this ribosomal RNA (589 nucleotides) under Dichotomopilus funicola. RNAcentral's name for it is "eukaryotic LSU rRNA". The stretch from base 214 to 367 matches the Rfam family "5.8S ribosomal RNA". The record is from RNAcentral. Lineage: Eukaryota; Fungi; Ascomycota; Sordariomycetes; Sordariales; Chaetomiaceae.